This 464-nucleotide ribosomal RNA is filed under the name uncultured bacterium. Its description in RNAcentral is "partial 16S ribosomal RNA". It matches the Rfam family "Bacterial small subunit ribosomal RNA", at positions 28 to 507 of the family's 1533-position model. The record is from RNAcentral.
GACGAACGCUGGCGGCGUGCUUAACACAUGCAAGUCGAACGGUAAGGCCCUUUCGGGGGUACACGAGUGGCGAACGGGUGAGUAACACGUGGGUGAUCUGCCCUGCACUUUGGGAUAAGCCUGGGAAACUGGGUCUAAUACCGGAUAGGACUACGCGAUGCAUGUCGUGUGGUGGAAAGCUUUUGCGGUGUGGGAUGGGCCCGCGGCCUAUCAGCUUGUUGGUGGGGUGAUGGCCUACCAAGGCGACGACGGGUAGCCGGCCUGAGAGGGUGUCCGGCCACACUGGGACUGAGAUACGGCCCAGACUCCUACGGGAGGCAGCAGUGGGGAAUAUUGCACAAUGGGCGCAAGCCUGAUGCAGCGACGCCGCGUGGGGGAUGACGGCCUUCGGGUUGUAAACCCCUUCCAGCACAGACGAAGCGUAAGUGACGGUAUGUGCAGAAGAAGCACCGGCCAACUACGUG